RNAcentral lists this non-coding RNA (27 nucleotides) under Bombyx mori (domestic silkworm). The record is from RNAcentral. Lineage: Eukaryota; Metazoa; Arthropoda; Insecta; Lepidoptera; Bombycidae.
UCUUUCUAUUGGUUUCGGUCUUUCGCC